This 74-nucleotide transfer RNA is filed under the name Podarcis lilfordi (Lilford's wall lizard). RNAcentral describes it as "tRNA.Lys". The stretch from base 9 to 66 matches the Rfam family "tRNA", at positions 8 to 63 of the family's 71-position model. From Rfam's summary of the family: Transfer RNA (tRNA) molecules are approximately 80 nucleotides in length. Their secondary structure includes four short double-helical elements and three loops (D, anti-codon, and T loops). Lineage: Eukaryota; Metazoa; Chordata; Lepidosauria; Squamata; Lacertidae. The record is from RNAcentral.
GUCUGGGAUAGCUCAGAUAGUAGAGCAUGAGACUCUUAAUCUCAGGGUUGUGGGUUCAAGCCCCACGUCGGGCA